Molecule: ribosomal RNA, 393 nt
Filed under: uncultured bacterium
Lineage: Bacteria
Description: partial 16S ribosomal RNA
Rfam family: Bacterial small subunit ribosomal RNA
Source: RNAcentral
AUACGGAGGAUCCGAGCGUUAUCCGGAUUUAUUGGGUUUAAAGGGUGCGCAGGCGGGAGAUUAAGUCGGCGGUGAAAUUUUGCAGCUCAACUGUAAAAGUGCCUUCGAUACUGGUUUCCUUGAGUGUGGAUGAAGUAGGCGGAAUUUGUGGUGUAGCGGUGAAAUGCUUAGAUAUCACGAGGAACUCCGAUUGCGCAGGCAGCUUACUAAACCACUACUGACGCUCAGGCACGAAGGCGUGGGGAUCAAACAGGAUUAGAUACCCUGGUAGUCCACGCAGUAAACGAUGAUUACUGGCUGUUUGCGAUACAAUGUAAGCGGCUGAGCGAAAGCGUUAAGUAAUCCACCUAGGGAGUACGUUCGCAAGAAUGAAACUCAAAUGAAUUGACGGGG